AAGUCGUAACAAGGUUUCCGUAGGUGAACCUGCGGAAGGAUCAUUAUCGAGUUUUGAAAAGGGUUGUAGCUGGCCUUCGGCAACAAGUCGGAGGCAUGUGCACGCCUGGCUCAUCCACUCUCAAACCCCUGUGCACCUUUUGUAGGCUUCGGCAGAGAGGACUGACUUCGGUCGGUUCAGGAAGCCUUGUGCCUAUGUCACGCAUACAAACGCUUCAGUUUAGAAUGUAACGAAUCGUGCGCCUCGGUGCAACGAAGUAAAUACAACUUUCAGCAACGGAUCUCUUGGCUCUC
This 293-nucleotide unclassified non-coding RNA is filed under the name Pappia fissilis. RNAcentral's name for it is "Tyromyces fissilis partial internal transcribed spacer region". The stretch from base 1 to 46 matches the Rfam family "Eukaryotic small subunit ribosomal RNA", at positions 1786 to 1831 of the family's 1831-position model. Lineage: Eukaryota; Fungi; Basidiomycota; Agaricomycetes; Polyporales; Meruliaceae. The record is from RNAcentral.